CUAUGACUAUUACUAUUAGUCAUGGCGGAAGGAG
RNAcentral lists this non-coding RNA (34 nucleotides) under unclassified sequences. RNAcentral describes it as "L31-Firmicutes ribosomal protein leader". It matches the Rfam family "L31-Firmicutes ribosomal protein leader". The record is from RNAcentral.